GUUUGCUGCUGCUGCUGCCGUGUUAAAAAACAAUAUGAGUAAUCGAAGAUACAAGGCACAAACAAAAGCUCUUCUGCAGAGCCUACUCUGGUUGAUGCACAACCCGUGGAAAGAAAACAGGUUAUUACAUCGCCAUGGCAAACAACCGAUGUCUGUCCGCCAUGUCAAAACUGGCAGGAUGUGCAUUAUGAAGAGUCAGUCCAGAUGGCGAUGAAGGAGCGUUUAUCAUUGCCAGAAGACCUGCUGGCAUGAUGUCUGAAGACUGCAUCAUCAAGAAGCCGCAAAAAUGUUUUAUGGAUCUCCAGCAGAAUCCCCCAGAAGUCUUCCUUUCGCCUCCCAAAGCAUCUGCCUCCCUGUGCACAGGGGCAAGAUUCCCUCCAUUUUCUACCAGGCACGUUCACCUCUUUGGUUUUAAACUUCUUAAUUGUUGACCGGAAUAUGCAGAAACGGUACCUUUAGAUUUUAAUUAAUUUCUUUGUGACCAUCACCUGAUUUAUAAAGGUCAACAACCCUUCGUGUUGUCUCUUCUGAGAAUUCUUUGCC
Anguilla anguilla (European eel) is the source of this 543-nucleotide long non-coding RNA. RefSeq lists it as uncharacterized. The record is from RefSeq and is a predicted model, not a curated record. NCBI's taxonomy places the organism in Eukaryota, Metazoa, Chordata, Actinopteri, Anguilliformes, Anguillidae. The transcript is spliced from 3 exons.